GAAGAGUUAGUAUAUAUGUAUUACCCACCCUUGUCAAGGGUGAAAUAUAGGACAAAACCCUUUACUCUUCU
Molecule: transfer RNA, 71 nt
Filed under: Osteolaemus osborni
Lineage: Eukaryota; Metazoa; Chordata; Crocodylia; Crocodylidae
Description: Osteolaemus tetraspis osborni tRNA-Asp
Source: RNAcentral